Small nucleolar RNA from Lotus japonicus, 107 nucleotides. Lineage: Eukaryota; Viridiplantae; Streptophyta; Magnoliopsida; Fabales; Fabaceae. The record is from RefSeq and is a predicted model, not a curated record.
AGGUUGUGCUGAGGGCAUUUCCUCAAGAGCUUCUUGAAGCGCUCCCAAGCUUCAUAGAGAUUCUCUUCAGCGGUAUGCACAAAAGUCAUGAUGUCUUUUUUCAGCUU